This 74-nucleotide transfer RNA is filed under the name Candidatus Falkowbacteria bacterium RIFCSPLOWO2_02_FULL_45_21. Its description in RNAcentral is "tRNA-Ala". It matches the Rfam family "tRNA". From Rfam's summary of the family: Transfer RNA (tRNA) molecules are approximately 80 nucleotides in length. Their secondary structure includes four short double-helical elements and three loops (D, anti-codon, and T loops). The record is from RNAcentral. Lineage: Bacteria; Candidatus Falkowiibacteriota.
GGGCCCGUAGCUUAGUGGCAGAGUAUCCGGUUUGCAUCCGGAAGACAGGGGUUCGACUCCCCUCGGGUCCACCA